Molecule: signal recognition particle RNA, 303 nt
Filed under: Nestor notabilis (Kea)
Lineage: Eukaryota; Metazoa; Chordata; Aves; Psittaciformes; Psittacidae
Description: Metazoan signal recognition particle RNA
Rfam family: Metazoan signal recognition particle RNA
About the family: The signal recognition particle (SRP) is a universally conserved ribonucleoprotein. It is involved in the co-translational targeting of proteins to membranes.
Source: Rfam by way of RNAcentral
GCUGGAUCUGGUGGGUCUUGUUUUAAAUACAGCUGGCCUUUGUAGCACAUCUUAUCAAGGCAUUUCUAAGGUGCAUGUUGCCAUAACUGAAUAAUGUAGGAUGCCGAGCGGGCAUCCGCACUAAGGCCGGCAUCAAUAUGGUGAGCCCUGGGGAGCUGGGGGAACACCAGGUUGACUAAGGAGGGCUGAACCGGCCCAGGUUGGAGACGGAGCAGGUCAAAGCUCCUGUGCCGGUCAGUAGCGGGAUCAUGCCUGUGAAUAGUCACUGCAGCGUAGCCUGGGCAACACAGAGAGACGCAGGUU